UAUCAAAUAUAAUUUCGCAAUCGAUAUGUUGAGUAGUCCCUGCGUAAACGCUUUGUUGUGUUUGUAUAAGAACCAAUUUCAUCGGAGCAUCGAUUAUCUAUUGUAAUAUUAUAUUGCAUUAUUUGUGCAUAUUAUUUAUUGUACAGUAGUAUUGUACAGUAGCAUAUUAUAUAUUGCAUUAUUAGUUUUAUAUACAUAUAUAAGCAAUUAAGGCAAAACUUUUGCGUCAAUUAUGUAUACUCAUUUUAAGAAUUCCGUCCGGAAAGCAAUGCCUGAAAGUUGUGACCAGUCAUGUACGUCUGUUACCUCUGCUGACUAUUCAUGUUGAACAGGAUAUGAUAUUUAUAUAUGUAUCUUUUUCAAUCAAUAAACAAAUAAACCUAUUGUAGAAUUAUCAUUAAAUCAUGUGCAAUGACAUAUAUAAGAUUUCCUUUCUGAUAUAUGAUAUCAGCAAUUCCACGUUGAAUCUAAGAAUUUUACUUCAAAUAAACUAGAAUUUUUUAUCAGAGAGGAAAUGAGAGUACUCGCAAUCGUAGUUCUAGUUGUUUCACAGUACAGGUGCUGCACCAUGCGACCAAGUCUUGAAGUUAACUAAAGUAAGCGUAUAUAACAACCUAUAAAAUUAGGGAGCUGCCCUGUUUGGUUGCAUACUAGCACAGACAAGAACCUGUUGAGUUCCACGCUACAAUUGUACGGUUCUACGGAAAAGUUCAUAUCCACUUUUCUCUUCGAGAUAGACAAGUAUGAGAAUGACAAAGUCGCGGAAUAAUGAAACUAAUUGUGACUUAAAGAAAAGAGUAUGAAUCCCGACAUCUUCGUCCGAGAACAGGACGUUUAGACGCAAGGCGAGGGUGCAGUUUCCUGCUGAUCGCGGAAACUCUCUUAUUCUGAUUCUAGAAGCAUUCGAAGGAGAGCAUUCGAAGGAGAGCCUUCCGUUAAAAGUGAAGAAGAUCCGUGCCCGAGAAGAUUAAAAAAGAAGAGCGCAGCUCUCAAGAGUUAAGAGGAAGGGUGAAGAGCAGUUGAGAUUUCCUCGAAGGCACAAAUUUACACUUGAAUAAUAUGAGUCUGACUCAAACGUUUUGAAUUGUUUUUCUUUAUAGGAUACUCUAUUGGUAUAGAAAUAUGGGGCACACAUAUUAGGGGAACAUACAUAUUAGAAAAGUAAAUACGAACUUUUCCGUAGAACCGUACAAUUGUAGCGUGGAACUCAACAGGUUCUUGUCUGUGCUAGUGUGCAACCAAACAGGGCAGAUCCCUAAUUUUAUAGCUUGUUAUAUACGCUAACUUCAGUUACCUAACUACAGCACCUGUACUGUGAAACAUCUAGAACUACAGACGUGAGCACUCUCAUUUCCUCUCUGCCCAAAGACACUACAUUUUUGAAUAAG
This is a long non-coding RNA of Bombus huntii, 1388 nucleotides long. RefSeq lists it as uncharacterized. The transcript is spliced from 3 exons. Lineage: Eukaryota; Metazoa; Arthropoda; Insecta; Hymenoptera; Apidae. The record is from RefSeq and is a predicted model, not a curated record.